Molecule: long non-coding RNA, 422 nt
Organism: Oncorhynchus keta (chum salmon)
Lineage: Eukaryota; Metazoa; Chordata; Actinopteri; Salmoniformes; Salmonidae
Exons: 2
Source: RefSeq, a predicted model, not a curated record
GACCGGACAGCUGAAAACAUUGGCAAACCACUACAGCUUUUCCCUCCUCUCUUUCAGCAGUCACCCAACAGCCAGCCAGACAUGGGCUGCUGCUUCAGCGGGUCUGAGGGGGAAGGAGAGGGGGACACGAAGCACGGGGAGGACAGCGGCUGUAAGACGUGCUGUCUGAAGACCAGGAACUGCGUGAUGAGUGGAGAGUGUGGGCGGGCUCUUCAGAUUGCCAACGUCUGUGCCAUGUGUGGAAUGUGCAUCCGCAUGUUUGUCUAGCUGUGACUCCAUGAGGUCAGACCUGCUCUCAUUCCCAUGGCAGCUGUACAGAGAGCUGUGAACAAUAGGACCGGUAUACCACUCUCCCAUGGGUGGAUCACCUGGGAUCCAGCCAUCUAGCAAGACACACACCCUGGACCCGCCCUGUGCCUUUA